UCCUCGGUAGUAUAGUGGUCAGUAUCUCCGCCUGUCACGUGGGAGACCGAGAUUCGAUUCCCCGCCCGGGAG
RNAcentral lists this transfer RNA (72 nucleotides) under Araneus ventricosus. It matches the Rfam family "tRNA". Rfam says of the family: Transfer RNA (tRNA) molecules are approximately 80 nucleotides in length. Their secondary structure includes four short double-helical elements and three loops (D, anti-codon, and T loops). Further hydrogen bonds mediate the characteristic L-shaped molecular structure. tRNAs have two regions of fundamental functional importance: the anti-codon, which is responsible for specific mRNA codon recognition, and the 3' end, to which the tRNAs corresponding amino acid is attached (by aminoacyl-tRNA synthetases). tRNAs cope with the degeneracy of the genetic code in two manners: having more than one tRNA (with a specific anti-codon) for a particular amino acid; and 'wobble' base-pairing, i.e. permitting non-standard base-pairing at the 3rd anti-codon position. The record is from Rfam by way of RNAcentral. Lineage: Eukaryota; Metazoa; Arthropoda; Arachnida; Araneae; Araneidae.